UCUCGGGGCCGUGACUGGCGCGCUGGAGUGGAGACAACCACGAGGAAGCGGCCCUGACGUGCGUGGGGCCACGCCCCGCGCGAGGUGAGGUCGUGCGCCUGGGCCGCUGAG
Molecule: non-coding RNA, 111 nt
Filed under: Streptomyces tsukubensis
Lineage: Bacteria; Bacillati; Actinomycetota; Actinomycetes; Kitasatosporales; Streptomycetaceae
Description: ZTP sequence
Rfam family: ZMP/ZTP riboswitch aptamer (pfl RNA motif)
About the family: Previously known as pfl RNA. ZMP is also known as AICAR.
Source: Rfam by way of RNAcentral